This 423-nucleotide ribosomal RNA is filed under the name uncultured bacterium. RNAcentral describes it as "partial 16S ribosomal RNA". It matches the Rfam family "Bacterial small subunit ribosomal RNA", at positions 359 to 774 of the family's 1533-position model. The record is from RNAcentral.
GAAUUUCGGACAAUGGGCGAAAGUCUGAUCCAGCAACGCCGCGUGCAGGAUGAAGGCCCUCGGGUUGUAAACUGCUUUUGUACGGAACGAAAAGCUGUGGGUUAAUAUCCUGGAGUCUUGACGGUACCGUAAGAAUAAGCACCGCCUAACUCUGUGCCACCAGCCGCGGUAAUAAGCAGGCUGCAAGCGUCAAUCGGAAUUAUUGGGCGUAAAGCGUGCGCAGGCGGUUUUGUGAGACAGAGGUGAAAUCCCCGGGCUCAACCUGGGAACUGCCUUUGUGACUGCAAGGCUAGAGUACGGCAGAGGGGGGUGGAAUUCCGCGUGUAGCAGUGAAAUGCGUAGAUAUGCGGAGGAACACCGAUGGCGAAGGCAACCCCCUGGGCCUGUACUGACGCUCAUGCACGAAAACGUGGGGAGCAAACA